GCUCCUAUAGUUAAAUGGAUAGAACAAUCCCCUCCUAAGGGAUAGAUACAGGUUCGAUUCCUGUUGGGAGUA
This 72-nucleotide transfer RNA is filed under the name Clostridium sp. CAG:265. It matches the Rfam family "tRNA". Rfam says of the family: Transfer RNA (tRNA) molecules are approximately 80 nucleotides in length. Their secondary structure includes four short double-helical elements and three loops (D, anti-codon, and T loops). Lineage: Bacteria; Bacillati; Bacillota; Clostridia; Eubacteriales; Clostridiaceae. The record is from Rfam by way of RNAcentral.